GGAGUGUCAACCGGGGCUUCCAGCGCUGUGGCACUGUCUGCACUGCCACUUUAUAGCACGAAAACUUGCAGCACUCAGGGAGGUGUUUUUUCACACCCCUGAGCGAGAAAGUUGCAGCGCUGUUAAGUGGCAGUAUAGACAAGGCCCCAGUCUACUGAAGCUGCUUCUUGCCUGAGACAAGACAAUCCAAUCCAAUCCAAUCCAUUCCAUCACACUCAAGAGCAAUGAACUGAAACAUAUACAUUUUAAAAAAUGAAUACAAAAACAUUUUCCCUGAUACAAAGCCACAGA
This is a long non-coding RNA of Dermochelys coriacea (leatherback sea turtle), 291 nucleotides long. RefSeq lists it as uncharacterized. The record is from RefSeq and is a predicted model, not a curated record. The transcript has 3 exons. Lineage: Eukaryota; Metazoa; Chordata; Testudines; Dermochelyidae.